CCUAUGACGUUUUUGUCAGAGGGGAGUAACUUGUUUAACGUGUAGACGUUAAAAGCGCUUUGUCGUCAUUACGAAGAGAUAUCUUCCGGUGAAGCGGGCAAUGUAAAUGCUAAGUGAGACCUUUGCU
RNAcentral lists this small RNA (127 nucleotides) under Staphylococcus chromogenes. Its description in RNAcentral is "Manganese sequence". The stretch from base 1 to 111 matches the Rfam family "Manganese Mn2+ riboswitch aptamer (yybP-ykoY)". Rfam says of the family: This RNA was originally discovered in E. coli during a large scale screen and was named SraF. The family was later found to exist upstream of related families of protein genes in many bacteria, including the the yybP and ykoK genes in B. subtilis. The record is from RNAcentral. Lineage: Bacteria; Bacillati; Bacillota; Bacilli; Caryophanales; Staphylococcaceae.